GUGAGGAAUAUUGGGCAAUGCCCGCAAGGGUGACCCAGCAACGCCGCGUGGAGGAUGAAUGUCGUAAGAUUGUAAACUCCUGUUAGAGGGGAAGAAUAGUACCGGUUGGACCGGUAUAUGACUGUACCCUCAGAGAAAGCCCCGGCUAACUACGUGCCAGCAGCCGCGGUAAUACGUAGGGGGCAAGCGUUGUCCGGAUUUACUGGGUGUAAAGGGCGCGCAGGCGGGAUAAAAAGUCAGUGGUGAAAUCCUACAGCUUAACUGUAGAACUGCCUUUGAUACUGUUAUUCUUGAGUUCGAGAGAGAGAGACGGAAUUCAAGGUGUAGUGGUGAAAUACGUAGAUAUCUGGAAGAACACCAGUUGCGAAGGCGGUCUCUUGGUCCGACACUGACGCUGAGGCGAGAAAGCGUGGGGAGCGAAC
Molecule: ribosomal RNA, 422 nt
Filed under: uncultured bacterium
Lineage: Bacteria
Description: bacterial SSU rRNA
Rfam family: Bacterial small subunit ribosomal RNA
Source: RNAcentral